GUGAAUCAUCGAAUCUUUGAACGCAAAUUGCACUCUUCUCUGAGAGUAUGCCUGUGUGAGGGUCAGCCUAUAAAAAAUCGACAUCGGUGCUGUUUCGCGGGGGCGUUCGUCUGAAAUUGGGUCAUAUUAUAUCUUUUGGGUUUAAGCGAGUUAAAAUUUGCUUUUGGUUCCAUGAACGGUACUAAGAUCUAUUUCGGUACACGUUUAGGGUAUCGAUUUUUACCAUAGGUGACCAUCAUAUCGG
This 244-nucleotide unclassified non-coding RNA is filed under the name Glomus sp. Its description in RNAcentral is "partial contains 5.8S ribosomal RNA and internal transcribed spacer 2". The stretch from base 1 to 65 matches the Rfam family "5.8S ribosomal RNA", at positions 84 to 154 of the family's 154-position model. Lineage: Eukaryota; Fungi; Glomeromycota; Glomeromycetes; Glomerales; Glomeraceae. The record is from RNAcentral.